AACGGCCCCACCCGUAUCUCCCUUCGCUGACUCUCUUUUCGGACUCAGCCGGCCUGCACCCAGGUGAAAUAAACAGCCAUGCUUCUCACACAAAGCCUGUUUGGUGGUCUCUUCACACAGACGCGCAUGAAAUUUGGUGCCGUGACUCGGAUCGGGGGACCUCCCUUGGGAGGUCAAUCCCCUGUCCUCCUGCUCUUUGCUCCGUGAGAAAGAUCCACCUACCACCUCAGGUCCUCAGUCCAACCAGCCCAGGAAACAUCCCACCAAUUUCAAAUCCGAUCUUCUCGGCUUAGCGGCUGAAGACUGACGCUGCCCGAUCGCCUCGGAAGCCCCGUAGACCAUCACGGACGCCGAGCUUCGGGUAACUCUCACAGUGGAAGGUAAGUCCGUCCCCUUCUUAAUCAAUACGGAGGCUACCCACUCCACAUUAUCUUCUUUUCAAGGGCCUGUUUCCCUUGCCUCCAUAACUGUUGUGGGUAUUGACGGCCAGGCUUCAAAACCCCUGAAAACUCCCCCACUCUGGUGCCAACUUAGACAACACUCUUUUAUGCACUCUUUUUUAGUUAUCCCCACCUGCCCAGUUCCCUUAUUAGGCCGAGAUACUUUAACCAAAUUAUCUGCUUCCCUGACUAUUCCUGGACUACAGCCGCAUCUCAUUGCCGCCCUUCUCCCCAGCCCAAAGCUUCCUUCACGUCUUCCUCUCGUAUCCCCCCACCUUAAGCCACAAGUAUGGGACAUCUCUACUCCUUCCCUGGCAACUGAUCACAUGCCCAUUACCAUCCCAUUAAAACCUAAUCACCCUUACCCCGCUCAACGCCAAUAUCCCAUCCCACAGCAUGCUUUAAAAGGAUUAAAGCCUGUUAUCACUCGCCUGCUAUAGCAUGGGCUUCUAAAACCUAUAAACUCUCCUUACAAUUCCCCCAUUUUACCUGUCCGAAAACCGGAUAAGUCUUACAGAUUAGUUCAGGAUCUGCGUCUUAUCAACCAAAUUGUUUUGCCAUCCACCCUGUGGUGCCCAACCCGUACCCUCUUUUGUCCUCAAUCCGUUCCUCCACAACUCACUAUUCUGUUCUCCAUCUUAAAGAUGCUUUUUUCACUGUUCCCCUGCACCCCUCGUCCCAGCCUCUCUUUGCUUUCACUUAGACUGACCCUGACACCCAUUAGGCUCAGCAAAUUACCAAGGCUGUACUGCUGCAAAGCUUCACAGACAGCCCCCAUUACUUCAAUCAAGCACAAAUUUCUUCCUCAUCUGUUACCUAUCUCGGCAUAAUUCUCAAAAACACACGUGCUUUCCCUGCCAAUCGUGUCCGACUGACCUCUCAAACCCCAGCACCUACAAAACAACAACUCCUUUCCUUCCUAGGCAUGGUUAGCGUGGUCGGAAUUCUUACACAAGAGCCAGGACCACACCCUGUAGCCUUUCUGUCCAAACAACUUGACCUUACUGUUUUAACCUAGCCCUCAUGUCUGCGUGCAGCGGCUGCUGCUGCUUUAAUACUUUUAGAGGCCCUCAAAAUCACAAACUUUAUCAGUCCUCCAGGCCCAAGUUGACUCUUUAGCUGCAGUUGUCCUCCAAAACCACCGAGGCCUUGACUGACUUACUGCUGAAAAAGGAGGACUCUGCAUAUUCUUAAAUGAGGAGUGUUGUUUUUACCUAAAUCAAUCUGGCCUGGUGUAUGACAACAUAAAAAAACUCAAGGAUAGAGCCCAAAAACUUGCCAACCAAGAAAGUAAUUACGCUGAACCCCCUUGGGCACUCUCUAAUUGGAUGUCCUGGGCCCUCCCAAUUCUUAGUCCUUUAAUACCCAUUUUUCUCCUCCUUUUCUUCAGACCUUCUAUCUUCCGUUUAGCUUCUCAGUUCAUUGAAAACCGUAUCCAGGCCAUCACCAAUCAUUCUAUACGACAAAUGUUUCUUCUAACAUCCCCACAAUAUCACCCCUUACCACAAGACCUCCCUUCAGCUUAAUCUCUCCCACUCUAGGUUCCCACGCCGCCCCUAAUCCCGCUCGAAGCAGCCCUGAGAAACAUCGCCCGUUCUCUCUCCAUACCACCCCCCAAAAAUUUUCGCCGCUGCAACACUUCAACACUAUUUUGUUUUAUUUGUCUUAUUAAUAUAAGAAGGCAGGAAUGUCAGGCCUCUGAGCCCAGGCCAGGUCAUCGCAUCCCCUGUGACUUGCACGUAUACAUCCAGAUGGCCUGAAGUAACUGCAGAUCCACAAAAGAAGUAAAAACAGCCUUAACUGGUGAUAUUCCACCAUUGUGAUUUGUUCCUGCCCCACCCUAACUGAUCAAUGUACUUUGUAGUCUCCCCCACCCUUAAGAAGGUUCUUUGUAAUUCUCCCCACUCUUGAGAAUGUACUUUGUGAGAUCCACCCCUGCCCACCAGAGAACAACCCCCUUUGACUGUAAUUUUCCAUUACCUUCCCAAAUCCUAUAAAACGGCCCCACCCCUAUCUCCCUUCGCUGACUCUCUUUUCGGACUCAGCCGGCCUGCACCCAGGUGAAAUAAACAGCCAUGCUGCUCACACAAAGCCUGUUUGGUGGUCUCUUCACAUGGACACGCAUGAAACCUACUGUGUACUUUGCUUUCUUUGCUCUUGGUGAUUCCCCAAAAAACUUAUCUCAACAUAUAAGGAUUUUUCUUUUCUUUUUUUUUUUUUGUUUGAGACGGAGUCUCGCUCUGUCGCCCAGGCUGGAGUACAGCGGCGCGAUCUCGGCUCACUGCAAGCUCCGCCUCCCGGGUUCACGCCAUUCUCCUGCCUCAGCCUCCGGAGUAGCUGGGACUACAGGCGCCCGCUGCCACGCCCGGCUAAUUUUUUUGUAUUUUUAGUAGAGAUGGGUUUCACCGUGUUAGCCAUAAUGGUCUCAAUCUCCUGACCUCAUGAUCCGCCUGCCUUGGCCUCCCAAAGUGCUGGGAUUACAGGCGUGAGCCACCGCGCCCGGCUGUUUUUUUUUUUUUUUACUUGCCUUUUUCCAAAUGAGAAAACCAAGGCUCAGAGAGGUCAGUGGUGCAAUCUCGGCUCACAGCAACUUCCGCCUCCCGGGUUCAAGGGAUUCUAGUGCCUCAGCCUCCCAAGUACCUGGGAUCACAGGCAUCCGCCAUCACACCCAGCUAAUUUUUGUAUUUUUAGUAGAGACAGGGUUUCGCCAUGUUGUCCAGGCUGGUCUCGAGCUCAUGACCUCAGGUGAUCCGCCCACCUUGGCAUCCCAAACUGCUGGGGUAGGAUUUUCUUUUUUACUUCCCUUUUUCCAAAUGAGAAAACCAAGGCUCAGAGAGGAAGAGCGUGUUGCCCCAAGUGGCCCAGCAGAGCCACAGCCUUGCCCCCAGCAGCUCUGGCUCUAAUGCAUUCCAGACUCCUCCCAUCAGCCAACUGCCUCCCAUCCUCUAAUAAACUUCUGAGAAGCGCUGGGCAGAUGCAGUGGCGCCCACGCUCUUUAUCUGCCCAGAUCAGGCCGGCUCAGCAGAGCAGUCGAUAAUUAAUUCUGAAUUCUCCCCAUUUAUCACGGCGGCAGGAGCCAGAGUGCCUGGAAUCCCAAUCCCAAACCUCCGUGCCCCUUGGUCACCUGGACCAAGGCCCAGUGGUGGCAGGAACUAUGGUGGAGAGGGGGCCUCAUUGAGCCUGGGAAGGGAGCAAAGGUGUUCCUGGCUCCCCACCGCUCCCUGGCGC
This 3668-nucleotide long non-coding RNA is filed under the name Homo sapiens (human). Its description in RNAcentral is "HSALNT0395885". Lineage: Eukaryota; Metazoa; Chordata; Mammalia; Primates; Hominidae. The record is from RNAcentral.